Molecule: ribosomal RNA, 611 nt
Filed under: uncultured bacterium
Lineage: Bacteria
Description: bacterial SSU rRNA
Rfam family: Bacterial small subunit ribosomal RNA
Source: RNAcentral
UCGAGCGGAAACGAGUUAUCUGAACCUUCGGGGGACGAUAACGGCGUCGAGCGGCGGACGGGUGAGUAAUGCCUAGGAAAUUGCCCUGAUGUGGGGGAUAACCAUUGGAAACGAUGGCUAAUACCGCAUAAUGCCUACGGGCCAAAGAGGGGGACCUUCGGGCCUCUCGCGUCAGGAUAUGCCUAGGUGGGAUUAGCUAGUUGGUGAGGUAAUGGCUCACCAAGGCGACGAUCCCUAGCUGGUCUGAGAGGAUGAUCAGCCACACUGGAACUGAGACACGGUCCAGACUCCUACGGGAGGCAGCAGUGGGGAAUAUUGCACAAUGGGCGCAAGCCUGAUGCAGCCAUGCCGCGUGUGUGAAGAAGGCCUUCGGGUUGUAAAGCACUUUCAGUCGUGAGGAAGGUGGUAGUGUUAAUAGCACUAUCAUUUGACGUUAGCGACAGAAGAAGCACCGGCUAACUCCGUGCCAGCAGCCGCGGUAAUACGGAGGGUGCGAGCGUUAAUCGGAAUUACUGGGCGUAAAGCGCAUGCAGGUGGUUUGUUAAGUCAGAUGUGAAAGCCCGGGGCUCAACCUCGGAAUAGCAUUUGAAACUGGCAGACUAGAGUACUGU